GUGAUGACAAUGCUUGCUUUAAGGGUAACAUACAAGGCACAUGUUGCUAGUAGCACCCUUGGGAAGGUCUGAGACAUAGGUAAUUAACCCUCUUGCAGGGGGCUCUCCUAAUGGAGGAGUGAGUCAAUAGAAACCAGGCUAAGCUGGGAGUUACAGCAUGUGAUGUCUAUAGACUGAUGCAAAGCUUUCAGUUCUAGUUGAAAGAGACUCAUUACCAGCAAAAGUAGUACAAUUCGCAAGAUGGUCCAAGGACCAUAACUCAAUUCAGACUACUCUGCCAUCAC
RNAcentral lists this RNase P RNA (284 nucleotides) under Mytilus galloprovincialis (Mediterranean mussel). RNAcentral's name for it is "Nuclear RNase P". It matches the Rfam family "Nuclear RNase P". From Rfam's summary of the family: Ribonuclease P (RNase P) is a ubiquitous endoribonuclease, found in archaea, bacteria and eukarya as well as chloroplasts and mitochondria. Its best characterised activity is the generation of mature 5'-ends of tRNAs by cleaving the 5'-leader elements of precursor-tRNAs. Lineage: Eukaryota; Metazoa; Mollusca; Bivalvia; Mytilida; Mytilidae. The record is from Rfam by way of RNAcentral.